RNAcentral lists this ribosomal RNA (253 nucleotides) under uncultured bacterium. RNAcentral's name for it is "partial 16S ribosomal RNA". It matches the Rfam family "Bacterial small subunit ribosomal RNA", at positions 524 to 776 of the family's 1533-position model. The record is from RNAcentral.
GACGAACCGUGCGAACGUUGUUCGGAAUCACUGGGCUUAAAGGGCGCGUAGGCGGGCUAUCAAGUCCGGGGUGAAAUCCUCCAGCUCAACUGGAGAACUGCCUCGGAUACUGAUGGUCUCGAGGAGGAUAGGGGCACACGGAACUGUGGGUGGAGCGGUGAAAUGCGUUGAUAUCCAUAGGAACUCCGGUGGCGAAAGCGGUGUGCUGGAUCCUUUCUGACGCUGAGGCGCGAAAGCCAGGGGAGCAAACGGG